GAGCACCAAAGAGCACAUUAAGGAGGUUCACCCACAGAUUCUGUAAAUCAAGAAGUAAUGGAGACUCAGUCAAGCUGCACCUAAGCAGGAAUUUACUUUAAAACAGAGUGGUGUUGAAAAAGGAAGGGCUGGAUGGGAGUAAAGAAUUGGGACCAAUAAGCAAGAAAAUGUGAAGAGCUCACCAUGUUCAAUGUAAGUGAUGAAUCCCAGAGAUAACAGCACGGCAGCCAGAUGGAAGCUCAGUCCCUGGGAGGAAGAGAAUCAGAAUCAAAACAGAAACUUCUAACAUUCCUCAAUCCUUAGCAGAUGCCUGAUGCUUGUUCUAUGAUGUUUAGUGACAUCACUUUACAGGUUGUUUCUAGGUCUCGGGACCUGGUACAAUCCUAACUUGGCAAGUAACUUAAACACCUGAUGGUUGCUGAGCCUUCUCAAAUUCUCUUUGUACUUCUGCACUCCUCCAAGUCUUCUGAUACCUCUCUACCAUGCAUUGACUUUGCUUCCUUGACUACAGAAGAUCAAUACUCAAAGACUGUAUUGUAUACCUGUGAGCUGAUUGGGAGCUCUAUAUGAUGGAAAAAGAGAAUACAAAUGUUUCAAAUUAGCCCCAAAUUUAUAGAAAUGUAGUGCUAUUGGGCUGUAACCAAGAAACAGAUCUGAGAGACUGGCUUGUGGGGAGAGAUAAACAUACAUGCAACACGGCAGCUGUUGCAUAGGUUGAACAAAUUGAGCAUCCCUUAUCUAGAAUUCCAAAAUCCAAAAUACUUCAAAAUCCAAAAAUGUUGAUAUGGAUGGCUGAGAUAGUACAGUAGAGCCUCACUUAUCCAAGCCUCGCUUAUCUAAGCUUCUGGAUUAUCCAAGCCAUUUUUGUAGUCAAUGUUUUCAAUAUAUCGUGAUAUUUUGGUGCUAAAUUCGUAAAUACAGUAAUUGCAAUAUAACAUUACUGCGUAUUGAACUACUUCUUCUGUCAAAUUUGUUGUAUAACAUUAUGUUUUGGUGCUUAAUUUGUAAAAUCAUAACUUAAUUUGAUGUUUAAUAGGCAUGGUAAUGUUUUAUUAUUGUAUAUUGGUUUUUAUGAUGUUUAAAUGUUUUUAGUUUUUAAUGCCUUUUGUAUUGUAUUGUUGAUGUGACAGCACUGUGUUGCCAAUUUGUAAGCCGCCCUGAGUCCCCCAGGGGAGAAGGGUGGGGUAGAAAUACUGGAAAUAAAUAAAUAAAUAAAUUUUUCCUUAA
Long non-coding RNA from Anolis carolinensis (green anole), 1227 nucleotides. RefSeq lists it as uncharacterized. The record is from RefSeq and is a predicted model, not a curated record. The transcript is spliced from 2 exons. NCBI's taxonomy places the organism in Eukaryota, Metazoa, Chordata, Lepidosauria, Squamata, Anolidae.